CUACGGGGUGCAGCAGUGGGGAAUAUUGGACAAUGGGGGAAACCCUGAUCCAGCAAUGCCGCGUGUGUGAAGAAGGCCUGAGGGUUGUAAAGCACUUUCGGUUGGGAGGACUGCUUCUAGCACUAAUAUUGUUGGAAGUUGACGUUACCUUCAGAAGAAGCACCGGCUAACUCCGUGCCAGCAGCCGCGGUAAUACGGAGGGUGCAAGCGUGUAAUCGGAAUUACUGGGCGUAACGCGCGCGUAGGCGGCUAGAUCAGUCGGGUGUGAAAGCCCCGGGCUUAACCUGGGAACUGCAUCCGGUCCUGUCUAGCUUGAGUACAGGAGAGGAGAGUGGAAUUCCACAUGUAGCGGUGAAAUGCGUAGAUAUGUGGAGGAACACCAAUGGCGAAGGCAACUCUCUGGCCUGAUACUGACGCUGAGGUGCGAAAGCGUGGGGAGCAAACAGGAUUAGAUACCCUAGUAGUC
Molecule: ribosomal RNA, 466 nt
Filed under: uncultured bacterium
Lineage: Bacteria
Description: partial 16S ribosomal RNA
Rfam family: Bacterial small subunit ribosomal RNA
Source: RNAcentral